Molecule: ribosomal RNA, 240 nt
Filed under: Steccherinum sp.
Lineage: Eukaryota; Fungi; Basidiomycota; Agaricomycetes; Polyporales; Steccherinaceae
Description: partial large subunit ribosomal RNA
Source: RNAcentral
AAACGCUUGAAGUCAGUCGCGUCUUCUAGAACUCAGCCUGGCUUUUGCUUGGUGCAUUUUCUAGUUGACGGGCCAGCAUCAGUUUUGACUGCUGGAAAAAGGCUUUGGGAAUGUGGCACCCUCGGGUGUGUUAUAGCCCAGAGUCAUAUACAGUGGUUGGGACUGAGGAUCUCAGCAUGCCUUUUGGCCGGGGUUCGCCCACGUUCAUGCUUAGGAUGCUGGCGUAAUGGCUUUAAACGA